Non-coding RNA from Chrysemys picta bellii (western painted turtle), 11293 nucleotides. NCBI's taxonomy places the organism in Eukaryota, Metazoa, Chordata, Testudines, Emydidae. The record is from RefSeq and is a predicted model, not a curated record.
CAGGGGACUGGACUUGAUGACCUCUCGAGGUCCCUUCCAGUCCUAGAAUCUAUGAAUCUAUGAAUUUUUUAAAAGAUUGGAUCUUUAAAAAAAAUAGCUUAUUUGAGGUGUUAGAGAGUCUGAACAAUCUUUAGUUGUGCAAAAUCUGGAAACAAAAUAAUUUUGUGCAAAAAAAAAUCUGGAAAAUAAAAAUUGUAUGCAAAAAACCCCUGCUGGAUUACACAAAUAACUGGGUGCUUACUUUAAAUCCAUUGGGGAAGUCUUUGGACCAACUAUGGCUGUCAUGACACUACAGAUCUCAAAUCUAGGUAUGUAGGGUACCCAGUCAACAGUAUUUUAAAUGCAAAAUUUCUUAUUGAUAUAAAUAUUUCCCAAAUCCUAAUAAUAAAACUAAAAGGAUUAUGAGUAUAGUUAUAAGAAUCGCAUGGUCUGACCCAUCUUUGGGUGUUGCAUAAUGAGUGGGCAAAUAUCCCUACACUGACUCUUCAGUAAGUUACACUCCAUACAAACUUAUCUCAAUUCAUGGGAAAACUGUCCCCUCUCUGCCAUAGGUACAAAUGUCAGAAGGGCAUUUCACUGCAUAAUGCUUUGUAUUUGUUCUGAGGACUUUUCUCCCAGCAGUGGCACAUAGUGCAAUCUUUCAUAGCUCUGGCACUGUUAUUUAUUACAUGAGUCAUGCACAACUGAAAUAAACACAAAGGGCCAAAUUAAUCCUGGGCUGUGUUUGUGGAAGGAAACUUCCUCCAUCCCUGCUCAUGAAAUCUCUGGGACAACUAUAGUCUAUGCAACUAGGGCAAUGUGCGGAUUGCUCCUUUCAUUUGACUGGGUGGAAGAUGCAAAGCACCCAAAAGGGGGUGUAGGGAUGAGGCAGAGACAUGCCCAGUCCCCUCCAGUUCACACUGUCCUGCAAAGCAGCAUGUGGGAGCAGAAAAAGGAGCUCUACACCAUUCUUAGGGAGUCAGCGUGGACACUGCAUGCACACUGAGGAGUUGGGGGAGUGAUUGUCUCCCAAAGGUAUAAUCCUCUCAAAUUUUCCCAUGGGGUCGAAUGGCUUUCCACUGCCCUUUACAAAGGGCAAUUUGGCCGACAUCUUUUUUCCUGGAAAUUGGAACAUCCUGUAAAGAGGUCAAGUUGGCCGCAUCUAAGAGCAAAGGGGUGAAUGAUUUACUGGAAUUAAUCUUAAAUUGUUGGCAUUUGGUAUUCAAAUAUUAAUGUGGCUGAGCGGAAUGAGCUAACAUUGUGGUGGUGGUUUGCAGUGUGAGGCAUCACAUAAGUGAUUCUCACCACCAUGAGCCGAUGUUUGUUCUAUAUAAAGGCACUCCAAUAUCUGUACAGCCAGGCCAAAGGCUUAAUGCAGCACUGACCCAUGCACCACAGGCCACAGAACUCUACAUUUCAGUGGGGAAAGGAGGAGAAUGAGAAUCAAGAAGAUCUCUUCUUUCAGGUAAUAAUUAAGACACCAUAGGUGUAGCAAUUUAUUUUUCUUAGUGAGGAAUUUAAUUAACAUGAGGUACUGCAUAGCAGUCGUAAUGUGGAUCUGAAUCAAGUGCAUUCUCCCCGAAAAUAGAAGGGAUCUGGUAACUCACAGCAUUGCAGUAGAUGUGGAAUAUUUUCUUCUAAUAAGUCAAAUUAUUUUGUGCUAUGAAAUGGAAAACUCAUGAAAUGUGGGAGCAGUCUAGACUUCCAACUUGGGCAGUUCUGAAGCAGCAACAGCAGAGCUUGAAACUAGUUAAUCUUGCUCACUUUUUUAACUCUGCGAAGAAAUUCAUUGAUUAGGGAGGCAGUGUGUCUUAGAGGACUGAGCCCUAGCCUGGGGUUUCAGGUAGAACUAGGGUCUAUUCCUGGCUCUGCCAGUGUGCUGUUGGGUAACCUUAGACAAAUCACAUCCACUCUGUGUGCCUUAGUUUCCCCAUCUGUAAUGUAGGGGGAAUGAUACUUACAGGCUUUGUAAAGCACUUGGAGAUUUACAGAUGAAAGAUGCUAUAUAUUUAAAUAAAAACUGGUUACUACAUGCAUUUGUGGGAAGAAGUGGUACUCUUUGGGGUGCUGGAGAAAUGCAGGUUCAGCUUUGUGUCUUAGUGUGCAACCCAGGUGUGGAUUUACUGCAGAGGAUAAUGAAAUACAAUUAUUCAUUUUAGACUGAGUGCAAGGAUGCUGUACAGUAAUCAUGCCCAUAGUUAUUUCUCAAUCAUGCAAAAAUCCCCAUUCUCUUAUUAACCAUUCAGAAUGCAGGGAUUUGCAUGAAAGCUGCACAAUUAUCUCAUAACAAGCAGUAUGCAACAGCGAUUCUUGCUUCUCUUUCCACCCUCCAUCCCCUGUGCUAGUUUGAGUAACAACCCCACUGACUCUGAGGGGUCAUAGGGAAGGAUUCAGAUACAUAUGCACAUAUAAUUCAGCUUUUAAAUAAUUUUGAUGGGAAGACUAUUAUUGAGGGAGGACUUUUAAACUUAAUGGUGCUGUCUUAAAAACAAAAAGCACCUCCUGGUCUUGUGAUGGCAUGUGCCCUCCAUGCCAGACCUGAUACUUAAUGAGGGCCUGAGAGGCCAAUUAUGUUACCUGGUGUCACCUGAGAGAGGAAGAGCCAGAGUUAAUUGAGAAUGAAGCCCAACUGAGGAAGGGCUGGGCCAACACUAUGAAGCCAAGAGUCUGAAAGCCGAAGUGGGUUGUAGAGGGGAGAAGAGAGGUGGUUAAGUGCUAUAAGGCAGCCUGGGGGAAAGUAAGUGUCAGGAUUCUGCCGUGGAGUAAGGACUCUAGCAAGAAGCUAGGAGGGGGGGUGAAGUAGCCAUGGGGAGUAGAGUAGGCUUCUAUGGUAAACCAACAGUAGCUCUGAGAAGAUAGAGAAGCUGGGUAGGUAGGAGCCCAGGGAAACCAUAACAGGGACUGCGCAGAUGUGAUUGCUGGAUGUAGGGUCCCUGAGCUGGAACCUGGUGUAGUGCGCAGACCUGUAUGCUCUUGGAAAUUACUGGUAUAGUGGUGGGGAGCUUGUGGAGGGGCUCAACAUGGUCUGGAAACAGCAUUUGGACAGUUGUCCUGUUGAACUUUGUAACCCCAGAACAGUAGGCAAAAUGGUAACCUGGGUGUGGGGGGGUUAAGUUAACAGUAGAAAGCCUCUUGUAGAGUAAGCAAUGAGUAGUAAGGGGGCACACAAGACACAGCAAGAACUACAAUUCCUGAUGUAGACACAAGGAAGUAUGCUAGUGGUGAGUGUCUACUCCAUUAUAUUAAGCCCUCAUCCUAGGUCAGAAAAUAAUCCUUCCUAAGCAGUAGGGGGCCUGAGAGACCCAGGAGAAGAGCAAUUAAAGGGCUAGAAGAAGGGGAGCCCAAUUCAGUAAUAAUGAGGUUGCUGCCUGUCAACUCAGUAUGUUAACUGUUACACACAAACUACCUGAAAAGAAUGCUAUUAAGGUUGCAAAGCCAAGCCCUCUAAAGCUUGGAAAUGCCACAGUUAAGUUGCCUGUCUAACCUUGACUCAGCUCCCUUGUGCUUUGAACAUCUAAAGUGCUAUAUAAUGCUGAAUAGUUAGAAAAAUCAAGUCCUAGGUGCCUCAGCUUAGGCACUUUUAACCCUAAUCUUUUUGUGCCUCAGUUCCCCAGCUGUAAAAUGGAGAUAAUACUACCCUUUCAACUUCCAAGGAUGUGCAAAAAUAAUUUCAUUAACGUUUGUGCACUCAGAUACUAUAGUGAUUAGUGUCAUAGAAAAGCCCAUGAGGAAAUCAAUAAUUAUCUUUACAGCAGGGUUUGAAUGGUCUGAAGUAAAUAAGGCCCCACAUUGAAUAAUGAUGAUAGAACAAAAGACUGUUCAUUAAGUGAGCACCAUUCAACAUGUGUGCUGAAUGAGGGAAGGAUCCUGGGGGGAAAAUAGUAUGUGGUCAUGUACUUAUGAUAUGGUCUUAAAUGCAUGUACACAGGGGGCAGAAUGAAAGUUGCACAGGCAUUCUGCCAUUUGCUGAUCUAAUGCUCUUUUAACUUAGUUUUUGGUGGGAUCAUUAAGAGCACAGGAAAGGCUAGCUCUCUGCUCUCAGUUCAAGUGCCAGUUACCAGAUCCCUUCUAUUUUCGGGGACAAUACACUUGAUUCUCUCAGUUCAAGUGCCUGGACCCGGCACGGCCCACAGCAGCCCGGAGUGCAAUUACGGUGAAAGUCCUGUUCAGCCUCAAGUUGGAGCAUGCCCAAUGUGGGUGGAAUCUACAGGGAAGAUAGCUGCUAAAAUCAAAACCUCUACUUAGCAUGUGUGACCUGAUCUCCCUCCCCCAUUAGCCUUUUUGGGAGGGGGGGCAGAGACCGUAAAAGGCACAUCCCUGACACAUAGCUGACCCCCAACCCACCAAAUUUCAAGUCCCUGCUCUAAAGCAUGGGGAUGCUACAGCUUUUAAAAGAAAAGGUUUCCAGAAUUUAACAUGGACCAAAAAAUGCGUGUUUUCCUUAGCCUCAUUCUUGGGAAUGGUAAACUGUUUUCGAUGGAAAUUUUCCAAAACAAUUCUGCCUGAGGCAGACACCCAGCAUGUAAAUUUCAGCUUGAAUGGUUAAUAUUUGGUGAAGUUAUGUAAGCAACUGAAAACAUAGUGGCAAGUGUUGGGCAAACUUAAGCCAUGCUACCAGCCCCGCAUAUAAUAUCCUGCAUUGACAAAUCUCCUUGAGUUUCCUUCUGACUUAUAUAGCCCAACGUGUCUAGUUAUUGGGCCUGCUCCUGCUUCCAGUCAGAGUCGGUGGCAAAAUUCUUAUUGACUUUGGGCCCAGGAAGGGGUUCAUUCCCUUGUAAACCAGGAGCACUUAUGAGUUGUUAUCCAGUCACAUGGCUCCCUUUAGUGCUUGUCCAACUGGGAUAAAUGCAACAUUUUGCACUGUUGAAAAAACAUUAAACAAAAUUGUAUUUUUUUAACCAUUAAACAUAUGUUUUAAUAUAUUUGAAAACAGAGCUCUCCUUUGUCUUUAAAAAUAGAAGAUGGCUCUUACAGGAUGUAUGGUAAGCAGGGAGAAGAUAACUGUGUUUGACAUAGCAGUCUGUUUUCAGUGGCUUAACAAAGUUUGUGGUAAUUAAGGAAUGCAUAUGUUUUUUAGGUCAGCCAGAGUUCAGACGAUGAGGUAUGAAAAGAUACUGGAUGAGCACAUUUAUCCUUUUAUAUGAGAGAGAAGUUUUGGUAAACCAGUUUAUAGUGUAUGGCUUUUUAAAAAAUCAUAAUGUUUUAUUUAUAUCUAAUCCUCCAAAUCUGAUAAACCUAAUGAGUUUUUGGUAUUUUGAGAGCAUGGGAGUGACCAGGUAUUGUGGAAUUAUCUAGGUGUCAAGGAGUGGAAAUACUACAAGACAACAUAUAAUAAACAAAAGAUUAGACUUAAGUUUUAUCUUGAUGUGAUAAUGACCCUACUAUUAACUCCCAGAGAGGGUUUUCAUUUGGGUAGCUUGUCUUUCUUUUGAGACAUUUCUCCCUCUUUCUGGUGUCAGAGUUGGAUAUAACAGUAUGACAACUUGACUUCAUGGAAAGUCUUAAUGUAGACAUAUGUUGGUUUUCUCCAAACAAUUAGCAAUUGGUUGAUAGUUGCUAAUGGGUUUAAAAAGGCUGACUGAAAACUCUGAGUAUAUGAUUCCUUGGUAUUUGUUAAAGCACCUUGCUUCAUCUGUAUCAACAUAGUUUUCGAUCUACAAAAAAAUCUACAGGUUUAAUGAAUUCAGACUCUAUACUACUGUUUCAGUAAUUUGUGCCACAUGAAGACCUCAUUUUGGAAUUAAAGCAUGUGAUAACAGAGAAAUUAAGAGAUAUAGGUAAGGAGGGGGGAGAAGAGUAAUUAACCUCAGAGUUGAUAUCGCAGAGAUAAAGGAAGGCUUAUAUAGGUGAUAGGAAUAACUGAGAAGAAUGUUCUUGCCUGGAUGGGGUGAAAAUGGAUAUGCCAGAGAAAGCAGGUGCAAAUGGCUGGGUUGGAUGAACUAUAGAGAGAAGGCUUCAAAGGCAGGUUAGAUAAAAUUCCAUUGGGAGUAUUAUUUUUUCUUUAAGGUACUUCUGAAAUGAUUACUUAGUGGUGAUGUUGAAGGAUUAUCUCUCUAUUCUUUGCUGUAUAUCUGCAGCAUUCCAUAUGUGCUGAGACUUUGGGAAGACACUGAGGAGGUUCCUGCAGUAGUCAAAAGAAUAGGUGAUUGAAGGCUGAGAUGAGUAUUUUGCCAGAGAUGGAAAGAGGGCAUUGGUGUACAUGCAGAAGAAACAAUGAGCAAUUAAUCAUUGGAGGAGGAAAGAGUACAAGAACACCCAGGUUAUAGAAAGUGGACUUGGUUUGGAGGCUCAAGUCUAGAAGAGGGGUAGGGAUGUAACGUUGUGUGGUGAUGUGGGGAUGCUGACAUGGAGCUCAAAAGUUUAGAAGAAGCAACAAGCUUAUUUGCUCAAAACAGAGGGUGAGGAGCCAUUGAACAGAUAUCAAGGCUGCAACAAGCCUACAAUUUUGAAUACUGAAUACCAGCCCUGAAAUUCUAUCUGCUACAAAAUAUAGCUCCAGAUGAUAGUGUCAAGGCUUUUUGGGGGGGAGAGGGGGACAGGGAGGAUGGAUUAUUACAACAGUACUCUAAAAGUGAAAUCAGUAAACCUACACUACAUAUCAGUAAUUAGAAGUUAAAUCAAUAACCUUACAUAUGAUAGCAGUGUUUUGUAAGCUAUAACUGCACUACACAUCAUACUAAUCCUCUGAGAGCGCACAGAUUGGGACAUUCGUUAUGCCAUUUGUGGUAUCAGUAAAAUACAGCGUUCAGUUGCAUAUGCCUACUAAAGUAGACCAGUGAAUAAAUGUGUGAUUAAAAAGCAGACUUCUCUAUCACCCUUUAACAGUGGAAUGUGUGUAUUGGCAUGUUACUUUUCUUUCUUUAUAUGUGAUAAGAGUAAAUACAAAUUCUUUCAGCAUAGCUGAACAGCCUAUUUGAGCCUACUCUGAUGAGUGGCUGGACCUCUCAGGAUAGCAUAAUGAUAGGAGAAAGAGUAGGAGGGCUGAUGUCUGUUUCCACCAGUCUCUGGGGAAAUCUGUGACUACGAUCAAUGUAAAGAGUGCGUGUGCAGGCCUUCUCUCCAUUGAUUAUUGAAUGGAAAAUGAGAAUUGGGCUAUAUUCAUUCCCUGUGCUCAAUUGCACCUUUUACUAGCACAAACUGCUUCACUGGUACAAUGGAGAUGCAAUCCCAGGGGAAGCUGGCAAGGGUUUCCACUGCUGCCCUCCUUCCCUUCUUAUACCUGUAAAUGGGAAGCCUUGUUUUCCUGUAGAUGUUCCAUGGAGGCCUAGUAGUAAUGUAUAUUGAAUUAGUGUGCCUCCUGGCUACUAUUUUGUACCAAUAUAGGCCAUGUUUUGGGUGAACUGGUCACCUGCUGGGCUCCUUGUAAAAAGGAAGUGUCAACUACUUCUGUGCUGUCGGGUGGGCAGGACAUGUGGAGGACAUGAGUGGAUUUAGGCUUUGUCUACACUAGCACUUCUGUCAGAAGAACUUCUCGGUUAGGGGUGUGAGAAAAACACACCCCUGACUAACAUAAGUUUUCCCAACAAAAGUGCCAGUGCGGCCAGCGCUAUGUUGCGGGGAGACACUCUCCUACUGACCUAGCUACCACUGCUGGUUGGGAGUGGUUUAAUUAUGCCAGUUGGAGAGCUCUCUCCCACUGGCAUAGAGCAGCUACAUGGGAGACCAUAUAGUGGCGCAGCUGCAGCGGUACAGCUGUGCCACUGUAAGGUCCAGAGUGUAGACAUAGCCUUAGGCCUCUGUUUCUCUCUUCCUAGGUGCACAUGUUUUACGCCCCUUCCUGUGGGUCAGAUGCUGUUGCUCACACGUUCGUUCACUUUCUUGGUCUUUUCAGUUCUGGCUUUUCAGUGCAUAUUUUACUUUUGCUAACUUCCUUAUGGCAGUUUUUGUAGCAGCCCAGGAUAGGGUGACUGGAUGUUCUGAUUGCUAUAGGGACAAUCCUCAUAUUUGGGGCUUUGUCUUACAUAGGCACCUAUUACCCCCACCUCCGUUCCAAUUUUUUCACACUUGCUAUCUGGUCACCGUUGUCCAGGAUGACACUAAACUAGAGGUAUGUCUGCACUACAGCUGGGAGGUGUGAGUCCUACCAUGGGGUAGAUAGACUCAUACUAGCUCACCUCAAGCUAGUGGACUAAAAUAGCAGUUUGGUGGUUGUGACACAGGCUAGCUGCCUGACCUUGGUCCCACAGGGUUGCUUUGAUUUGGGUGAUUAGCCCAAGCUGCUGCUGGUGCCAGAACAUUCUCAUUGCUGUACUUAGCACACUAGCUCAAGCUGAGCUAGCACAGGUCUGUUUGCCUGUGCUGGGAAUUACACCUUCCACCUACAGUGUACGUGUGCCAGAACUGACUAGAUCUCAAAAUCUGUGAUCUGGAGCUCAGGCUGUGUAUCCUUUGCUUUUUCAGAGGAUGGCUGAAUCUAUCUGAAAUGUAUUUGAAAGACUUUACUCUCCUGGAUCUGUUAUCUGCCUAGUUAGAUAUACAGGUGUGGUCAGUUCUGUUUUGUAGGUUAACUUUUAGAAUGUCUCUGCAAGAUGCACAGAGAUGGAGUUAUUGGGCUGACACGUUUCCUUCUGGUAUGAAGAGUGGUGAAUAUUUUUUUAAACUGUUUAUUUUCUACCAUUAAUGGGCUGGGUAUGUACAGCCAUCAACUCACUUAGGAUAGUGUGACUUUUUUGUUUGGCAGCUUCUAGGCUGUAUGUUGUACCAUAGUUCUCUGAACUGUGUGUGGCUGAGGCUGGAUUGCUAUUCUAAACAUGCAGUACUCCCUUUGCUUAGUACCUAACCAUACUUCAGGGUUCCUGACUAUUGGGAUGUGGAUGUGAAGUAGCCAGACAUUACAUUAACUAAAAUACUAGGACAAACUUGUGUGUCUGAAAUUACAGUAGGCAUCCACUAUCUACAAUAAGAUUUAGUUGCUUUUUCAAAAGUGCUAAGCAUCUGUAGCUCCAUUUGAAGUCAACAGACCUUAUUGGUCCUAAGCACCUCUGAAUAAAUGUGCUACUCUUUUUAUUUAGGAGCCUAAAUCCAUAGGUACAUUCUUACCAUAAGUUAGGGCACUCAAUUAUGAAAACUUUGCUUUGUGGCAUGGGGCAUUUUAUACUAUUUGCUAGGCUAGAUUUGUGAAUAUAAUUGACAUACCUGUAUUCACCAACUACAUUUCCUUUCAUUUGCUGUACUUCAGAAAAAAUCUAAAUGGAGGCCUUUGAGUUGCUCUUGAAUACUUGGAAACCAUAUGUGGUUUGGCACUGUUUAAUUGAUUUUUUUUUUCAAAGGCAGUGAGUGGGUUUGUGUAAACAUGUCUCUGAAACUGGGUAUUUUGUUCAGCUGGUGAAAAACUUGUACAUCCUUUACAUCAAACCAUACGGUUAUUCAUGAUAAGAUGAGUGGGUGUGAUAAGAUGAGUGGGAGAAGGUAACUGUAGAUUUAAAAAAAAAAGGCAGGGGACCUCCUAGGAAGCAGUCACAUGGACUGUCUAUAAAGUAUCUUUAUGCAGAGAUAAGUUUAUCUAGAAACAGGAGAAGAACUGUGCCAGAAGAGGACUUGUCCCUCUUAGAUCGCCAUAGUUAGAAUAGAACUAAUGUAGGAAGAUGGAAUGGUGAUUCAUGUCAAAGGUUGAGGGAAAGGAAAAUUAGAUGGAAAGAGCCUUUUUUAAAGGCAGAGCUAUCUUCAAAGGCAGAAGUCAUAUGUGUGGAGAGGAGUAGCUUCCAUGACUGAGAGGAAACUGUUCAAGGAUAACUUCAUAUGAGAGUUGAUACUUUGAAAAAAGGUUAGAGAUGGGACAGUAGUUUGUGUGUAAAGGGCAAGUGGGUGGCUUGAAGGACUGGACAGUGGCAGAUUUUAGUGUUUAGAAAAAGUUACAAUUAAUGGUUAUAAUGUGAGACAGAAGGCUUAUUUGUAAUGUAGUAGCAUCUGUGAGGCCCAGAUCAUAUCGCCAUUGAGGUAGGUGUAUGGUCAUGUAACACAGUCCCUGCCCUGAAGAGUUUAUAAUCUAAGUACUAAGAGUCUGAAUAAAGUUUGGAACAUCCAUAUAGGAGAGAUGAGAAGUAGAAUAAGAGAGGGUGAGGAUGAAAGGAAUGGAAGUGUGUGCUAUCUUAAACGGUUACUUGAAAUUGGCAUUUUUGGUGCCCAUUUGGCUUAUUAGUUACAUAAUACAGAGUGAUUCAUAAAGGCCCAUGCGUAAAUAUUGAUGAUAUCAGACUUUUGGAAACUAAGUGUAAAUUUGGUCAUCCUAGUAUUCAGACACUUGCCAUAGAAGUCAUUUUGCAUUUCAUCUAGAUUGAAAUGCUAUCUAACUUUAAAGCUGCUUAGUCAAACAUCUGGUUUUUCUUUUUUCAUUGAGUAUUGUAAUGAGUCAGAUAUAUAUGCCAAAUACUCUGUUGUUUAGUUUGCUCUCCAUGUAACUUUGGAUUGCUGUUGACUGCUUUGUCACACUUGAUAACUGAACUUUACCUCAACCACUCCACUGGAAUGUGUUGGUGCAUUCAGAUUUCUUAGAGUCAAGCUGUAGGUUGUCCUCAGAUUCCAAUUUCAAAUCUCCAGUGCACUCUUUUAAAAAUAUGACCUCUAACUCAAGAGAUACAAGCACAAAAGGAUUCCAGGCAACAAUUGACCACUGAGGAACAGUCAAGACAAAGUCAUGUAAAUUGUUACACCUUUGACAACUUAUUGUACUGAAGUGAAGAGGUGUCAAUGAGGAUUGAGAUCUGGAUUCAUUUAAAGCCUUGCAUGUAGGCUAUGAGGAGUAGCAUUUCCUUGAACAGUGCUGAGGAAGUCUCUCUGAAGAUUCCCUCCCACACCUUCUUGAGCUGACCCAUAUCUUAGCUGGGCUUGAAGCCAAAGUUCUUGUCACUGAAGAAUGCUUUGCUAAAACCUCUCACUUCAUAGCAGUAUGGAGAGGGAGAGAAGUGUGUGGUGGUGUUGCUGCUGAAAUCUUAUCCCAAAGCAGAUUCAGAGGCAUUUGGGCAGCUAUGGCCAUGGCUGUUGUCGACUUAAAUUGUUGGGUGGGUAUUUUUGGGUGUGGGGAUAUAUAUUUACUGUGGCAUACAAUCAAACCCAUUGCCCUUUGAUUAGGUGUAUCUUGCACCCUAAUCUCCUCCCCCGAACUUAUUUCUCCCUUCACUUUUUCUGUCAUUUAAAGCUGGGAAAAUAUGUAGUGUUCUAUGUCACAUUACUAUACUUCGUAGCUUUGUGGAAAAGGAAGUUUUGCUGUCACCAUUGAGUGAAAUAUGCUGUAUAGUAUGACUGAGUGAUUACUUUAUUUUACAAUUGUAAAGAACCAAAACAUUCUUUGUGGAUGAAAAAAAUAAAAUAUUUUAAU